UACGUAGGGUGCAAGCGUUAUCCGGAAUCACUGGGUUUAAAGGGUACGUAGGCGGUUAAUUAAGUCAGUAGUGAAAGACUGUCGCUCAACGACGGAUGUGCUAUUGAUACUGGUUAACUUGAAUCAGGUUAGAGUUGGCGGAAUGGGUCAUGUAGCGGUGAAAUGCUUAGAUAUGACUUGGAACACCGAUAGCGAAGGCAGCUGACUGAGCCUUGAUUGACGCUGAGGUACGAAAGCAUGGGGAGCAAACAGG
Molecule: ribosomal RNA, 253 nt
Filed under: uncultured Bacteroidota bacterium
Lineage: Bacteria; Pseudomonadati; Bacteroidota
Description: uncultured Bacteroidetes bacterium partial 16S ribosomal RNA
Rfam family: Bacterial small subunit ribosomal RNA
Source: RNAcentral